AGCUCACUCUCCUUCUACUAACUCACCUCAAUGGCACCUCAGGGAGAUCGCCUCGCUGAUAUUGGAAGGGAGGGUUUUGCACUACUAGACAUAUUUUAUGGUGGAGGAAAAUCAGGUCCAGCACCGAAGAAGCCAUGCAAUGUCCCACAGCAGCAUGCUCCCAUUCCCAACAACAAGAACAUAAUCGAUAGCGAGAAGGCCGCCGAAAGAUACAAAGGAGUGGUGGUCGUGGAGUCCCGCAAGAAGAAGAGGUUUGCCUGCUGAUGUUUUUAGGUUCUAGCGCUGUAACCGGAUGAACAAGUCCACGUCACUGUUUUCGUCAUACCAGUCAUUUCAAACUCUAGUACUGUGUUUUUUUAAUUUAUUUUAUUUUAAACUUUUGUUUUCUGGCCUUCUGAAGUUUAGCUGUGCACUAGGAUGUGUCUAAGCUAGUAAUUGGACUUGGGUUAUACUAAACACCCCGCGUUUUAUUCCUGUUUAGUUAGAAUAUCUAUGAUAUAACUAUUUACUUGAUUGGCGUGAAAAGAAUAUUCCAAUCGUUUCGACAGUGGAUGAUCACAACUUAAAUAACUUGCCAAAAACUAUCCUAGAACUACGUGGCCCAUUUAACACUCUGGUUCCAUUCUUGAGAUGCUCCUGCAUGAUUCAGUUCCUAAUAUUGACUAAGAUUUGAUAAAUACUUGCUGAAGCCGGAUCAUCCAAUUACGCAAGAUUCGGUUGUACAUCUAGCAAGCGCUUGCAACAUAUUGCAACAUAUAACUACACAGAUGGACCAUUCUUUGAUUUAUUGGUGCAAUUGCAUUUUUUUUCUUGUCUAGGAUGCUAACUAUUCUCUAGGAUCAAAAGUCACUAUUAUUGUAGUCGAGAAAUAUGUCCUCUAACUUCCAAGAUAUGCCAUCAAUUAUUCAGCUCCUAUUCAUAAAUUACAAGUAGCAAUCAUAAAAUAUCAGAGAUCCGCAUGUCAACAAGCAAAAGCUUCGACCAAAAAAAAAAAAAAAAACAAGCAAAAGCACGACCUUUACUUUUAGUGAAUUUAAAAGUGGUUCAUCUUAACCAACAGAACGAAAAGAAUAAAUGAAGGGGGACUCAUGAUGCACAUGUGAGGUUAACUCUGGGUGUCUCAGCUCAAAUACGCGUAGAUCUAAUUUUUAAGGCUCACGGAUUUCUCUUAAUUAUAAAGCAGUGCGCGUAAUCACUUUAGCAUGCUUUUUGGAUCCACUUUUGACUAGAAAGUUGGAAUUUAAACUUUUUUGCGUUGAUGAAGUUUCUCCGAUCUGUUGGUACCUGGUGGUGUGCAGAUGAAGGUUAGUAUGUGGCUACAAGCAGAAUAAUUAAGCUCUUGAAGAGAGAAUCAUUUGACUGGGAGGUUGUGAUAAGAGAAUCUUAAAACACUCAGAAAAGUUUCCACCGAGAGACGAUCAAUUUAAUGAAGCAAUAGAGUUGUUCCAGGCAUGCCAAACCGCUUUUACAUCCCUCCAAAAUCACCGAAGAUCUGAACCUAGAAAUUACAAGUACCAAAACAAGUGAUUCAGCUGCCGCUUGCUCCUCUCCUUGCAUGACGGCCGGAGGAUUCUUUAGAUGAGUCGAGCUGCUAAACAUGGCUCAGCACAAACUCGUUUCCUCAAUUUCGCUCAAUUUGGAUUGUGGCUAUUAUAGUGGGUUUAGCUCACUAAAAAGCAAUGUUGUCACUACAAAUAGGAUUGUACCUCUUAAAUCUCAUGAGCAGAUGCAUUAUGACCUUACACUGCUAAGAAAACUUAUUGAGAUCCCUUGAAGAAAAAAAUCACGUUGAGUGUACAAAAUAAUUGAUAAUUAAAAGAUUGGAGAGCCGCUUUUAAAAACUAGCAAGAUCAACUAGGGAUCGAUAUAUUAGGCAAUAGGGGUUUAGCUUGAAAUUCGAUGAGUUAAUUACGUUGGAAUCAUUCUUUCACAUUUUCUUUUACAUAGACUAACCUUUAUUAAUGUUUUUUGGGACUUAACCAACCAAAAAAAAAAAAAACAAAAAAAAAAUUAGUGCAUACUUUGUGGAAGCCCAUCGGGAGGGAAAAGUACCAAAAAAGUCAUAAACCUAUUGCAUUGGUACCAAUUUAAUCCUAAACUUUUUAAUUGGACCAAUUCAGUUAUAAACCUUUUUAUAUUGAUACCAAUUCAGUCCAUUCGGCCAAUUUUGGCCUGCCAGUGCUAACAUGGACAUCGGUCGAUGAUCGGACACUGACAUGGCAAUUUUUAAUUUUUUUUUUGAAUUUUUUCCUUUUUCUUUUCUUCCUUCUUUCUCCUUGGAUUGUUUUGACGGUGGACGGCGAGCCGUCAGCCAGGGUCGCGGCCCUCGCCUAGCCUCUCCUAAGGCUAUGGGCGAGGCCAGGCGAGGGCUGCGAUCCUCACUUACGGCUGGCAAGGGCCGCGAGGGCUUCGCGGCCCUCGCUUGGCCUCGCCCAGAUCUGGGCGAGGCCGGCCUUCCCUUGGCCUUGCCGUGGGCGAUGGUCGCCUUCAUCCGCGGCAAGGCCAGGGCGAGGCUGAGCGAGGGCCGCGAAGCCCUUGCCAGCCACCGGGGAGGGUUGCGGCCCUCACUUGGCCUCGCCCAGGGCCACGGGCGAGGCGGCUUUGCUCAAAUCUAGGCCAGGCCAGCCUCGCCCUGGCCUUGCCACGGGCGAUGGCCACCUUUGCCCACGGCAAGGCCUGCGAGGGCCGCGUUGGCCUCAUCGGCCAUGGGCAAGGCCACCUUCGCCCACGGCAAGGCUAGGGUGAGGCCAGCCUUGCCUUGGCCGUGGUCGGGCCCUUGCCUAUGGCUGGCAAGGCCAAGGCAAGGCUGGCCUUGCCUAAAUCUAGGCGAAGCUGCCUUGUUGAUGGUCCUGGGAGAGGCCGGGCUAGUCCAAGGAGGAAGAAGGAAGAAAAGAAAAGGAAAAAGAAAAGAAAAAGAAAAAAAGGAAAAGAAAUAGGAAAAAAUUCAAAAAAAUAUUUAAAAAAAUUGCCACGUUAGUGUCUGGUCACGGGCCAAUGUCCACGUUAGCGUCAGCACGCCAAAAUUGGCCGGAUGGACUGAAUUGGUACCGAUGUAAAAAAGUUUAGGACUAAAUUGAUUCAAUUGAAAAAUUUAUAACUGAAUUGAUACUAAUGUAAUAGGUUUAGGACUUUUUUGGUACUUUUCUCCCAUCGGAAUGCUGCUGGUGGUUGGCUCGUCGUGGAGGUUAUUCAUGUUGCGGAGAUGAGGGAGAAGGGAAGGUUCAUUCCGAUGGCUGCUUGGCACAAUAAAACCCUGGAGUUACUUCAAAUGGAAGGACAAACUGAUCGAUGAAAAGGGGUUUGGCGAAAGCGAAGGUCUUCCUAAAGAUAAAAAGUCUCAGACUGUUUGAAGGCAGGAGCUCAGUCACUGAUGGGCAACGGCGAAUGUGUCAUUGGCGCACGCAGUGUCUUACCCAAAAACGCUAGAGUUGGGGAAAGCUUUGGAGAAGAAAAUUUUCCGCCUGAGCAUUUUAGUCCGUUCUGUCUGAUCUGAUCAAAUUAGGCUUACAAAGAUAUCAAGUCUGUUUAUCGAGACUUAAUACGAACUCAAUCGUACUUGAUGGUGUUCAGAAUCAAACCUCUGUCCCUCCCAGUGUGGCUUUACAAAACUAAUCGAUGAAUAUGAGUCGUUAAAACAUGAUUAAAUGGACUAAAAGAGUCACGUUUUUUUUUUUUUUUAAGUAUUAUUUAUAGAUGAAUAGGUAGGUCUUACUCGCUUAUAAGACGAACAUAGUUAAAGAUGAUAACCGAUACUCUAAACUAUGUACUUUGUGCAUCUGUUGAUAUUCAACCAAGUCGUGAUUUCCAGCCUUACUCUUCACGACAAACUGAGAAAUGAUAACGCUUAAUUUUAUAUAAAUUUAAAAAAGAAGGAGAAUUAAGAUCCACUUGACAGAGUUAAUGCUUGAUGGACAUUAAUAAGGUUUAAAUUAUAGGGUUAAGUGGGAAUUUGAUUCCACACCAAUCUACUCAGACAUAUCUUGAUAAUUUGUUAACCAAAAGAGGCCGACUUGGAAAGUAGAUUCAAAUUGGAAGGGACAAUUGGUUCUCAACACGUGUCCUAAAUACUUUAAGCCCUCCUUCGGACUUGAAAAGAUUGUUUAGGAUUCAUCAAUAGACUAGAAGGUUGUCCAAAUCAAGGACGGGCGGUGACCGAGGAAGUUGUGCCUGCGGCUUCAUCCCUUGACAGAAUGUGUUUGUACAAGCGUCGAAAUCAGGCAAAGGAGAAAAGAAGAAGAAUAUAAUCUAAGGUUUGGCAGUUGUAGCUAUGCUUUAUACUAUACCUGCAAUGAUAUGGAAGGUACUGUUCUUAGCAUUAAAAGAUCACCGUGCUAACGAAACUUGAACGACAAGAAGAGGUGGGCACGAUUCCAUACGACUUCAUUAUCUAUCCACAGUCCCAAUUUGUCAAAAGUUUGGCUCCCGAACCAUUUUUCGAGAUCAUUUGCGGACGAGAAAGGCCUUCUUAAUCUCUCUCUCUAAAUACCUAGUUAUUGAAGUCUACUAGUCAUUAUAAUUGAUGGAAUAAGCUCCAUCAGACUUGCUGCGAUUCAACUGACCUCACUGGAAAUAUGUCAUCGGGCCAAUAAAACGCGGGUACUAGGAGCCUUCCUUUAUUCCUUCCGCAUUUCCGUGGCACUAUCCAUGAGCUCUAUAUAAACUGAUCUUGGCCUUCAAACUCGAACACAAGAAAGAAACCAAUCCAAAGCCCACGCAUAAGUUUCUAGUUUAACUCACUCUCCUUCUACUAUCUCACCCGCAAAUGGCACCUCAUGCCAAUCGUCUCGCCGAUAUCGGAAGGGAGGGUUUUGCUCUAGUGGACAGAUUUUAUGGUGAAGGGACAUCGGGUCCAGUACCAAAGAAGCAAUACAAAGUCCCAAAGCAGUAUGCUUCUGUUCCCAGUGACAAGAACGCAAUCGAUAGCAAGAAGGCCGCCGAAAAGUACAAAGGAACGGUGGUCACGAAGUACUACAAGAAGUUUAUUGGCUGGCGUUUCUAGGUUCUAGCACUGUAAACGUGUAAUGGUUCGAGUGACUUCCUAGAAGGUAGAGGUAACCGGAUGAAUAAGUCAUUGUCGUGGUUUUCACGGUUUUCCUCAGUCACUUCGAACUCUAGUACUGUGUUUAUGUAUAUCUUUUGUUUUUCAGCUUUCUGAAGUUUAAUUGUAUGCUUGGACAUGUCUAAGCUUUUAAUUGGACCCAUUUUACACUAUAUUCGACUUUUUAUUCCUCUCCUUGAUAAAAUUUAUCUCAAAUCUAUGGUAUACUCGGACACUGACCGGUAUGAAAAGAGGACUUCAAUCGUUUUCAAAGUGAAUGACCACAACUUAAAGAACUCGCCAAUUUUCUGCUCCAAGGACUGUCCAAGGACUAGCAGGCCAUUGGACACUCUGGUUCUAUUGCUGACUUGCUGCUGCAUGAUUGAAUUCAUAAUCUUGAGUAAUAUUUUCUAAGGACUCGCCAAAGAUGAACCAUCCAAUUACGCAAUAUACGGUAGUAAAUCCAGCUGGCGCUUGCAACAUAUAACUACACAGAUGGACCAUUCUUUGACUUUUUUGGUGCAAUUGCAUUCUUUCUCUUGUCUAGGAAGCUAAACUAUUUUCUAGGAUCAAAUAUCACUACUAUUGUAGUGGAAAAAUAUGUCCAAUAACUUCCUAGAUAUGUCACGAAUUAUUCACCUCUUAUUCAUAAAUUACAAGCAGCGAGCAUAAAAUAUUAGGGAUCUGCAUACUAACAAGCACAAGUUAUUUUCUUUUCUUUCUUGGAUGAAAGCGUGAAUAGUGAAUCUAAGUUCUUCAUCUAAACCAAAAGAACGACAAGAAUGAACGAAGGGGAACAGCUGAUGCACCACAUAUCAGGUUAACUCCAGGGGGUUCCUCAACUCAAAUAUGCAAAGAUCACUGAUCUCUAAGGCUCCAUCCACUUUUGACCAAAAAGGUUGAAUUUCUGAACCAUUUUGAGGGCUUUUGGCGAAGUGUCUUCAAUCUGUUGGUACCCCGGGCUGGGUAAAGAUGAAGUAUGUGGCUCUUUGGCGGAGAAGUUGACUUCUCCAAGAGAGAAUCAUAUGACUGGAAGGCCGUGAAAAAAUAAUCUUGAAACACUGAGCAAAAUUCCACCUAGAGACUAUCAAUGUGGUGAACCAAUAUUGUUAUUGCAGGCAUGCCAAACCACUUUUCGAUCCCUCCAAAACCACCAAAGAUCUUAAAGUCUAUAACCGGAGGUACGAUUGCUGGCAGUCAGUUUUAGACUUUACCAUUAAAGGUAGCCAGGUCGGAGCAGGCCUUGUGUAACACCCUCGAUUCCAACCCUGUGAAGAUCGGCCAUAAAGUCUUGAAUGGAUCGACCAUGAGCCAAUGGCUAUGGGAUCGACUGGUUUGAUCGGUAAGGAAUCAAUGAUUGGUCAUGGUCCAAUCGACAGAUCGACCGGCCAAGAAUUGGUCGAGAUGUCGGCCAUGAAUUGUCUAAUGACCAUACCGAUGGAAUAGGAUCACCAACUCAUAAGAUGAAUUUUUGAUAACGAGGACUAGUCACAAGGUGAUUUUGGAUCAGCGGAUGAUCAUGGGUCGAUCCGAUUGAUUGUAAUGCCCGGCCGUGAGUGAUUCUGCCCGACUAUGCAUUGAUACACAGACGAUGCGACUUUAUAAAUGUGAUUGUCUUCCAACAAAAAAUGCAUAAUUCCCUAUUUAAUUCUUAGUGAUCGGAAAUGAAUCUUAAAUUAGUGAUGUAUGAUCGUGGAUCGGUAAUGUGUUGACCAUGAACCAUACAGAUGGAUCGGAUGUCGACUGGAAUGAGCUCAGGGAUAGACUUGGCUAUUUCAUCACUAAUUUUAAAGUCCAUGAGUGCGUUGGCUUAGUGCUAGGCCAUGGCCAGCCUUAAGAUUAGCCUUGAAUCGAUUGAAAAACAACUGACCCUUUAGGCCGACUGAUCGUCUAAGGGAAUGGUUUGGUCGAGCAUUGGACACAAUUGUUGAACCUCGGGUGUAUGUGAUUCAGUUUUUCGAGGUGUAUCUAAUGAUCUUUUUCUCAGCUUCGAAAUUAACUUAGACGAUGGAAUUCUCUAGACCACAUUCUUGAUGAAGAAAAGGACAAAAUUGAAGAAAACUCCAGACACCCUCAUUAAUGAAGGAGGUGAUGUAUUUUUUGACUUUUCAAAAGUAACGAUGAGGUUGAGGAUUUUCUUGAUGGGCAAGAAAAAGAUGGCAUACACAUGGACCAAUCGGAGAGCGAUACAUGAACUCCUCAUUAAUGAUUGAAGAAUCUAGAUGCCAAGUUGGCAACUUUGAUGGCAUUAUAUCCAAACUUCAUUAAUUGCUCGUUAAAUGUGGGGUACAAGUGGUCCAAUGAAAUGGUGAAAAGUGAGCCAUCAUCGAUGAUGCUUGCAAGCCAAAUUUGUUAAGUGUGACCUUUUAGGAAUCCAACUCAUUCCUUAGGCACAAUAAUUAGACAAAUAGACUUGCCAACUAAGGAUCUUAGGUGGGACACUUGGAAAAUUGAGAAUGGACCAUUUAGCUCGGUAAUGAUGGCGCCGAGUAGUAUAAAUGGGAGGACCCCUCCUCAUUUUUCACCAUGCCAUUCACUUUCUCCUUUACUCCUCCAUUUUCUUUCUCUAGGCCUUGCAUCCUCAAUCCCUGAAGCUAAUUUAAGUUAGUCUUCAAGGUUCGCUAAGGUAAGUAAGAUUGCUAUUUUUUCUCUAAGAAGUAGAUCCCAUUGUUGAGACUAGUUAAGUGCUCACCCAUGAAGCCAUGGGUAGUGUACAAUGUCUUUUGUUGAUCUUGCUUGCUAUAGGACAUGGCCGUGUGAUUGAGUCAUUUAUGUCCGGAAUGAAACUGAGGUUCGAUUGGAUUGAGUUCAUCACAAGACAAAGUCGCCAAGCCAUAAAGCCUUGGUUUUGGCAUGGAUAAGAUGCCGAGUCCAAGUCUCACUUGGUGUGGAAAUCGCCCAAGACUGCAAGGUCCUAAAUCGACAUUGAGACAUGUCAAUUUUAUGCCUUGAUCGAUAUGGAGAUCGUCCAAAUCCACGAGGUCUUGGUAAGGCACCAAAGCAUGCCGAUUUCCAUAGUUCAAAUGGACGUGGGGCCAUUGUGCUUGGCGUUGGAUCAAACUAAGAGCUGAGGGUCAUUCACGAUACAUGUGUAUUUACAUUGGGUCAAAGCUGAGGUCCAUCAAGCUUGGGAUCGUCACUUAAGCAAGGUGUACCAAAGCCUCAAGGUCUUGAAUCGGUAUUGAGGCAUACUGUUUCCAAGCCUUGUUCGGUGUGGGGAUCGACGCUAAGUGAUUGAUUCAAGUUACGGAUCAAAGACCAUUCCCGACAUAUUUGCUAGUGAAGUAUAGGAAAUUCAUGAAUGAGCACACCUUCAGGUCAUGCAUGUGUCAGAUAAGAGAAAAGAUAAGAACUGACUUGUAUGAUGCAUUUAUGCAUGUACUUAAAGAGAAAAAGUGCCCGUCACCACACGGCGUUGGCGGCGAUGCAUUGUUAAUUGAAUGAGAUGCCUCGAUUGAGUUAGGAUGUCCUGGUUGAGUCAGGAUGCCUGGGUCUUGAACCCAGAAGCCUUGAGAAGCUAGCAUCGAGAAGUCUUGGUCGAGUCAAGAUGCCCUGGUUGAGCCGGGAAGUCUAGCUAAAAGCUGGAAGCCCCGGUCGAGCUGGGAGGGCUUGAUUGAGCCAGGACGAUGCUAAAUGAAUUUGCAUAAGUGCCGGUAUAUGCAUAAGUAUAAUAUGUUGAUAUAUUUAUUGAUAAGCCAAAUGUAAGUAUGCAUUGAAGCAUGUUGCGAUGGACAUUUGCAUGUAGUCAAGGGUAGCAACAAUUUUGCUAUUGAUGUACCAUCAAUAUUGUUUGCGAGUGUUGUACUUACUAAGCUUCGAUGAUGAGAUGCUUUCCUAGUAGAGAACUAGGAAUUUUACUUACUAAGUUUCCCCAAAACUCACUCCUUUAUCUUUCAGUUUUGUAAGCAUGAAAGUCUUAUGUUAGUGUUGAGAGCUGCAAUCAUGCUAGAAGAGAUAGGAAUUCUCUUGGCCAAAUGGAAAACUUAUUGUGUGAUGCAAAAAGAAGAGAGGGCCCGUAAAGAAAUGGUUUGUAAAAGUAUUAUUAUAAUAUAAAUCAGUGUGUUUUGUGUGAUGUAUGUCCCACUCUUCCAGCUAUUGUUUGUUUGGGGAGUCAUUUGUUUACGUUUUCACAUGUGCAUGAUAACAAGAUAAAAAGAAUUGGAACAGCGACAAGCUUGGGACGUCGUGAAAAUAACCCUUGUUGGAGUUGGGAUUGUGACACCUUGCACUUGCCCUCACUCACUUUAGGCAUGGGUGGCUACUAUACCAGCCUAUCCUGCGGUAGCCAAGACCGAAAUAUCGACAUGGAGUCUAUCUUCCCCAUCAUGAGGCCUCCUAAUCCCACCUCUAAUUUUGUCUUCCUGAGGUGGAGGGAAUAGGGGGUGACAUUGCGGGUCUCCCACCCCUAAGCGGUUCUCCCACCUGUUUCUUUCCCAUGAGCCUUUUAAGGACUUGCUCAGGUUCAUAAUUCGAGAAAUUAUAAGUACCAAAAGAAGUUAUUUAGUUGUCGGUCGCUCUUCUCCUUGCAUGAAGACCGGAGGAUUUUUUUUUUUUUUUGGAUGAAUUGGGCUGCUAGACAUGUCACAACACAAACUUUGUUACAUCAAUUUGCUCAAUUUGGAUUGUGGCCAUUAUUAUAUGUUCGGUUCACAAACAAGCAGCAUUGAUGCUACGUAUAGAAGGAUUGUACCUCUCAAUUCCUAUGAGCAGAUGCAUUACAAGACUACACUGCUAAGAAAACUUAUUGAGAUCCCUUGGAUAAACGAAAUCACGUUGAAGGUGCAAAGUUUAUCAGUAAUUAAGCGAUUGGACAACCGCUUUGAAAAACUAGUAAAAGUUCAAUUAAAAUCGAUAUAUCAUGCAAUAGGAGCCUAGAUUGGAAUCCGAGUGGACAAGUAUGUUCUAUCUGAUAACUGCUUUUGUUAGUUUGAUAAGAAACGGACUUGCGAAUUAGGCAGGAACCAUUCUUUUACAUUUUCUGUUACUUAAACUAACCUUUAGGACUGUUUCUGGCACUUAACAAACAAAUAAAAAUAAAAUAUAUUGCACACUCUGUGGAAGCCCUCAGGCAGCUCGGCGAGCACGUUGCAGAGGUUGGUCAUGUUGCACGAGUGAGAAGGGAAUUCCGGUGGUUGCUAUGGAAGGAGUAACUGAUCAGUGAAGAUGGAUACUGUGAAAUUGGGUAGGGGGGGGGGUACUUAUGCCAACUAAUUUGUAUUUGAUGGUGUAGAGAAUCGAAUCUCUAUCUCUCGUGUUGUUGCUUCACAAACUAAUGAUUGAAUCAAGUCGUGAGAACACGUUUAAAUGGGAUGAAAGCUUUAUUAUUUUUCUCGUAUCAUCAAUAAAUGAAUGGAGAGGUCUUACUCAUUUAUAAAGCAAACGCGAUUAAAGUGGUGCUCUAAAUUAUGUAUUUCACGUAUGUAUUGAUAUUUAACCAAGUCAUGAUAUCUAGCUUUACUUUCCAUGUUAAAUAAAGAAAGGAUCGUGCUUAUAUAUAUAAAAAGAAAGCCAAAAAGAAGGAGAAUUAGGAUCCACCCAAAAGAUUAGAUGCUUGAUGGAGACUAAUUAAGAUUUAAAUGAUAGGUUUUGGUGGGAAAAUGAUUGAGCACUUCGGCUUGGAAGGGACAAUUGGUUCCCAUCACAUUUCUAAUACUUUAAGCCCACCUUUCGGACUUGACGAGAUCAUUUAGGAUUCAUCGGCAUGAUUACAAGGUUGUUCCCUAUAGUGUCUCAAAUUCUGCCUGUCCAUACAUGUGUCCAACUCAAGGAAAGGAGGAAAAAGAGAAGAAUCUGUUGGUGAUCGAGGAAGGUGUGGUUGUGGCUUCAUCCCUUGCAAGACUGUGAAUCAUCCCUUGCCAGACGCUGUUUUUACAUGUGUUUAAAUCAGACAAAGGGAAAAAGUAGAAGAAUAUAUCUUUUCGGUCAGAAAAUUGCAGCUUUCCUUGAUAUUUUGGACUAUAAUAUGCAAUGAUUGUGGUAGGUUCUAUCUUAGCAUAAAAAGAUCAUGAUGCCAAUGAAACUUGAACUACACGAAAGAUGGGGCAAUGAUUCCAAUCCACUUCAUUAUUUGCUCAUAUUCACAACUUGUCACGAAGUUUAGAUCCGAAACAAUUCUUGGAAUCAUUGGCGGCCGAAAAAAGUUUUCUUAAUCUCUCUCUAAGUAACUAUUUAAUGAAGCUUACUCGGGUUUAUAAUUGAUGGAAUAAACUCAGACUUACUCCAAUUUUAGCAAUGUCACUGGAAAUAUGUCAAUCGAGCAAAAUAUGUCAUCUAAUCCACAAAAACUCCAGUAAUUAGCAUCACCGAUGAGAAGGUGGAAGGAAUUGACCUUCUACAAUAGGGGAAUACCAAGAAUGCAUAGACCAAGUGAAUGCCAUCUUUUGAAGUGACAAAUGCUAAAAGUUCUUGAAAAAUGAAAGCUUAAGAAUUCUAGAACUUCAUCUCUAUAUUUUUAGGAACCAAGUAGCAUUUUCUGUGAUAAGUACCAAAAAAUCCCAAACUUAUAGCAUUAGUAAUAAUUCACUUAUAAACUUUUCAAUUAGACCAAUCUAGUCUUAAAUUUUUUCACAUUUGUACCAAUUUAGUCAUUUCAACUAAUUUUGGUUAGUCGAUACUAAUAUAGACGUUGGCCAGUGGUCAACGUUGACAUGGACGCCGACGGGUGCUAAUGCUGAUAUGGCAAUUUUAAAAUAAUUUUUACUUUUUUUCCAAAUUUUUUAUUGAUUUGUUUUUCUCUUUUUCCUUUUCCUUUUAUUUUUUUUCUCCUCUUCCUCCUCGGGCUUCUUCUCCAUGUAGUGGUUGGACGAGGGCGUGCCCAAAUCCGGGUGAAGUUGCCUUGCCCAAUGCCCGCGACCCUAGGCGAGAUCAGGCAAGGGCCAUGACUCUCAUCUAGUGGUCGGCUAUUGUAGAGAGAAGAAACCUAAGGAGGAAGAAGAGAAAAAAGAAAAAAGAAAAAAAAAAGGAAAAGGAAAAAGAAAAAAAAUUGAAAAAGAAAAAUAUUUUUUAAAUUGCCAUGUCAGCAUUGGCCGAAUAGCAUACUGGCUGGCAUUCACGUUAGAGCUAACUAGUAAAAAUUGACUAGAAAUACUGAAUUAGUGCUGAUGUAAAAAGAUUUAUGACUAAAUUGAUUUAAUUGAAAAGUUUAUAACUGAAUUGAUACAAAUGUCAUAAAUUUAUAACUUUUUUGAUACUUUUGCCUGCAUUUCCUAGCAAUCACCUUUUCCCUUCUUCUCUUCCAACCAAUUGGUCUAUCGUUGGGAGCCAUUAAACAUGGGGACCAAGUGCCUCACUUUAUACAUUCUCCAUUUGCUGGGCACUUUCCAUGACCUCUAUAUAAACUGAUCCUUGGCUUCAAACUUGAGCACAAGAAAGAAACCAAUCCGAAGCCCCCACUUAAGUUUCUAGUUUAGCUCACUCUACUCCUACUUACUCACCCUCAAAUGGCACCUCAUGCCAAUCGCCUCGCCGAUAUUGGAAGGGAGGGUUUCGCUCUAGUGAACAGAUUUUAUGGUAGAGGGACAUCAGGUCAAGCACCAAAGAGGCAAUACGAUGUCCCAAAAAAGUAUUCUCCCGUUCCUAGCGACGAGAGGGAAAUCGAUUGCAAGAAGGCCGCCAAAAAAUACAAUGGAAUGGUGGUCACCAAGUACUAAACAAGAAGUUUGUCGGCUGGCGUUUCUAGGUUCUAGCGCUGUAAACAUGUAAAGGUUCGAGUUAACUUCCUAGAAGGUAAAGGUAAACUGGAUGAAUGUGUCCUUGUCACGGUUUUCACCAUGUUAGUCGUUUCGAACUCUAGUAAUGGGUCCUUGUCACUGCUCUAUAACCGUUUGUUUUUCAGCUUUCUGGAGUUUACUCGUAUGCUCGGAUGUGUCUAAGCUAGUAAUUGGACCUAUUUUAUACUAAACAUUCCGCCUUUUAUUCCUCUUUUUGGCAAAAUUUAUGGCGAUCUAUGGUAUAACUGUUCACUUCAUUGGCA
Molecule: long non-coding RNA, 13010 nt
Filed under: Eucalyptus grandis
Lineage: Eukaryota; Viridiplantae; Streptophyta; Magnoliopsida; Myrtales; Myrtaceae
Description: long non-coding RNA (EGRA_LNC005189)
Source: RNAcentral